GUUUCAGUAGCUCAGCUGGAUAGAGCAACGCCCUUCUAAGGCGUCGGUCGGGGGUUCGAAUCCCUCCUGGGACG
Molecule: transfer RNA, 74 nt
Filed under: Paenibacillus foliorum
Lineage: Bacteria; Bacillati; Bacillota; Bacilli; Caryophanales; Paenibacillaceae
Also listed under: 3 other names
Rfam family: tRNA
About the family: Transfer RNA (tRNA) molecules are approximately 80 nucleotides in length. Their secondary structure includes four short double-helical elements and three loops (D, anti-codon, and T loops).
Source: Rfam by way of RNAcentral